AGUGAACGCUGGCGGUAGGCCUAACACAUGCAAGUCGAACGGCAGCACAGCAAGAGCUUGCUCUUACGGGUGGCGAGUGGCGGACGGGUGAGGAAUACAUCGGAAUCUACUUUUUCGUGGGGGAUAACGUAGGGAAACUUACGCUAAUACCGCAUACGACCUACGGGUGAAAGCAGGGGAUCUUCGGACCUUGCGCGAUUGAAUGAGCCGAUGUCGGAUUAGCUAGUUGGCGGGGUAAAGGCCCACCAAGGCGACGAUCCGUAGCUGGUCUGAGAGGAUGAUCAGCCACACUGGAACGGAGACAGGGUCCAGAGUCCUACGGGAGGCAGCAGUGGGGAAUAUUGGACAAUGGGCGCAAGCCUGAUCCAGCCAUACCGCGUGGGUGAAGAAGGCCUUCGGGUUGUAAAGCCGUUUUGUUGGGAAAGAAAAGCAGCAGGUUAAUACCCCGCUGUUCUGACGGUACCCAAAGAAUAAGCACCGGCUAACUUCGUG
RNAcentral lists this ribosomal RNA (492 nucleotides) under uncultured bacterium. Its description in RNAcentral is "partial 16S ribosomal RNA". It matches the Rfam family "Bacterial small subunit ribosomal RNA", at positions 29 to 507 of the family's 1533-position model. The record is from RNAcentral.